RNAcentral lists this long non-coding RNA (331 nucleotides) under Homo sapiens (human). Its description in RNAcentral is "long non-coding RNA NONHSAT163756.1". Lineage: Eukaryota; Metazoa; Chordata; Mammalia; Primates; Hominidae. The record is from RNAcentral.
UCCUAGGUGUUAUCAAAAGGUCUCAUCAAAUUAUUUUAUGUAGAAGAGCACCCAAAUGUUAUUUCUUGCUGUUCCUCUUCUUUUCCUCAAGAGAAAGAAGGUUGAAAACUGAAAAUGAUGAAGUUGAAGAAUGAAGUCAAUGAGUGUUAAGAAGAGAUUCAUUUAUCCUUGACAGGAAGAGGACACCUCACUUUAUCCUACAUUCCUAUCUCAGUCAGGAAAGUAGCUCUAGAGAAGGAACUAAGAAGUCAAGGCCUUUUGUGAAGUUGCUCUGUUAUCUCUGUGGCCCCAAAGACCAAAAUGAUGGAGAAAAUGAAACCAGGAUGAUUUC